AUCGCUUCUUGGCCUUUUGGCUAAGAUCAAGUAUAGUAUCUGUUCUUACCAGUUUAAUUCACACAUUCAGACGUGAAUCUGGGCAGCCUCAUGAGGAGAAUUGCACCAAACACCAGUU
Oryctolagus cuniculus (rabbit) is the source of this 118-nucleotide small nuclear RNA. Its record names the gene U2. It matches the Rfam family "U2 spliceosomal RNA". Rfam says of the family: U2 is a small nuclear RNA (snRNA) component of the spliceosome (involved in pre-mRNA splicing). Complementary binding between U2 snRNA (in an area lying towards the 5' end but 3' to hairpin I) and the branchpoint sequence (BPS) of the intron results the bulging out of an unpaired adenosine, on the BPS, which initiates a nucleophilic attack at the intronic 5' splice site, thus starting the first of two transesterification reactions that mediate splicing. The record is from Ensembl. NCBI's taxonomy places the organism in Eukaryota, Metazoa, Chordata, Mammalia, Lagomorpha, Leporidae.